UACGUAGGCAGCAAGCGUUGUUCGGAAUUACUGGGCGUAAAGAGUGCGUAGGUGGUUGACUAAGUUUGGUGUGAAAUCUCCCGGCUUAACUGGGAGGGUGCGCCGAAAACUGGUUGGCUAGAGUGUGGGAGAGGGAAGCGGAAUUCCAGGUGUAGCGGUGAAAUGCGUAGAUAUCUGGAGGAACGCCUGCGGUGUAGACGGCUUCCUGGACCAUGACUGACACUGAGGCACGAAAGCGUGGGUAGCAAACAGG
Molecule: ribosomal RNA, 253 nt
Filed under: uncultured bacterium
Lineage: Bacteria
Also listed under: 1 other name
Description: partial 16S ribosomal RNA
Rfam family: Bacterial small subunit ribosomal RNA
Source: RNAcentral